GGAAAGGAACCAAGAAUUAAGGUUUCUGUGAAGGGCUGCACACAUACACAAAUCUGCAAACAAUAGUGUUUACUAGUGGACUGGUUUUUUUUGUUGUUGUUGUUGUUUUUUUUUUGCUACUGGGGACCGAACCCAGGGGUGCUUAACUACUGAGCCACAUACCCCAUCUCCAGCCCUUUUUAUAUUUUAUUUUGAGACAGGAUCUCAAUAAGUUGCUAAGGCUGGCUUUGAACUCAUGUCCCCCCUGCUUGGGCCUCCUAAGCUGCUUUUUUAUAGGCAUUCACCACCAUACCCAACAGCCUGCAGUCAGCAUCCAGACUAGAAGCCCUAGAAGCCCUUGUGCUCUCUGCACCUAUUCCUCCCCCUGGGGAGUUCCCUGAUUUUGUCAGUGCAGAUCAUUUUUGC
RNAcentral lists this long non-coding RNA (405 nucleotides) under Marmota monax (woodchuck). Lineage: Eukaryota; Metazoa; Chordata; Mammalia; Rodentia; Sciuridae. The record is from RNAcentral.